Long non-coding RNA from Numida meleagris (helmeted guineafowl), 1011 nucleotides. RefSeq lists it as uncharacterized. The record is from RefSeq and is a predicted model, not a curated record. The transcript has 4 exons. NCBI's taxonomy places the organism in Eukaryota, Metazoa, Chordata, Aves, Galliformes, Numididae.
GGAACCAUUGUGACAUUCGGAGACAGGGUGAUGUAGCAAAGCAGCGCUAUUAGGGGAUGACUGUCUUGUAACCAAGCCAAGUGAGCACAACUCUGAUGCAACCAGGAUAUAAGCACAAGUUUAUGUAAUGAACUACCACCCAUGUGCUGCUGUUUACCUAUGGUAGUAUCCAAAUGCCUCAACUUGGGGUCUCACAGAACAAGAAGCUGCAGUUUUAGCUGCCCCAACAUUGGAGCUGCUGCCACCGAACACCAACAAGUGAGAGGAGGACAUGGAAGAGCAAGUAGUGCUUAGGCAACCGGCUCUGCCUCCUUGGUCUGGAACCACAAAAAUACCACAGCCAAAAGAAAUCUGCCUGAUUUGUUUUCUGAACAAACCAUUACCACCCAGCAACAGGAUCCUGAAGUUACAGUAGAUGUAAUGAGAUGUAAAGAGUUUGACUAAUGGCAUGAAAAAUGUUACUGGUGAUACAGAGAUAUUUAGAACAGAGGAAUCUGAAGAUAACAGAGGAGUUUCAGGAGGACAUCAGUAGCACCUGGGCAGCAAGUUGGUGGUUAAUUUAUGGAUAAAUGCAAGUGACUCACAUGGAAAUAAUCCUACACAACAAUGAAUUUUAAAUUAUCCUUUUCCAUAUGUUCAAGAGACAGGAUAGUUUUUGAAAAAAAUCAACAGAGUUGAUGUUACAAGUAGAAACAAAGAUUAAGGAGAGAAGCAAAGAACAGAAAAGCAAUUGUCCUUGCAGGACUGAGGCCCUGCAGGGAACAUCUUCUGGCACAUGGCAUGUGGCUUGGGUGUCCCUCUCCACAGCCUGAAGCUGGGAGAGGUGCAAAGGAUGACAAAGGCUUCAGGCAGGACGCGCCAAUGGAUCAGGAGACUGUAGAGAGUCUCAGUGGGACAGGGAAGGCAGAUGAGAUGAUUGUUUCUGAAGCCGGUGUUUGUUUAACGCUCUCCAGCUCUUGUACUGGAUGAAAUAGGGAGCAUGCAUAAAAUGCUGAAUUACAAAAUAUCUCU